This 458-nucleotide ribosomal RNA is filed under the name Photobacterium rosenbergii. RNAcentral describes it as "bacterial SSU rRNA". It matches the Rfam family "Bacterial small subunit ribosomal RNA", at positions 22 to 466 of the family's 1533-position model. The record is from RNAcentral. Lineage: Bacteria; Pseudomonadati; Pseudomonadota; Gammaproteobacteria; Vibrionales; Vibrionaceae.
GCUCAGAUUGAACGCUGGCGGCAGGCCUAACACAUGCAAGUCGAGCGGCAGCGACAUAAACAAUCCUUCGGGUGCGUUUAUGGGCGGCGAGCGGCGGACGGGUGAGUAAUGCCUGGGAAUAUGCCCUGAUGUGGGGGAUAACCAUUGGAAACGAUGGCUAAUACCGCAUAAUCUCUUCGGAGCAAAGAGGGGGACCUUCGGGCCUCUCGCGUCAGGAUUAGCCCAGGUGAGAUUAGCUAGUUGGUGAGGUAAGAGCUCACCAAGGCGACGAUCUCUAGCUGGUCUGAGAGGAUGAUCAGCCACACUGGAACUGAGACACGGUCCAGACUCCUACGGGAGGCAGCAGUGGGGAAUAUUGCACAAUGGGGGAAACCCUGAUGCAGCCAUGCCGCGUGUGUGAAGAAGGCCUUCGGGUUGUAAAGCACUUUCAGUCGUGAGGAAGGCAUAUGCGUUAAUAG